GGGGUAAAAUUAAUUAAUAUAUAAUUAAUAAAAUUAAUUUUAAUUUAAAUAAUAUGAGGGGGUUAAAGUAUUAUUAAAAGAAAAAAUUAAUAAUUUUAUAGUAUAUUAGUAUUGUAAAUGAAUUUUGAAAUAAUUGAAAAUAAAUUUAUUAAGAAGUAAUUUUUAUUUAAUGUAUCUUGUGUAUCAGAGUUUAUUAAAAAUUUUUAAUUUAAUUUUAAUUUCUCGAAUUUAGAAGAGCUAAAUAAUUAAAAAAUUUAAUGUAAUAAAAUUAUUUUAAAUAAUUAUUUUGAAAUGAAAUGUUAGUCGGUUUUAAAUAUAUCUAGUUUUUUUAGAAAAAAAUUUAAUUUUAAAUUAAUUAUGCAAUAAACUUAAUUAAUAAUUUUUAUUGGGGGAUAAAUUUUAUAUUUUAAGGGAUAAGCUUUAAAAAUUAAAUUUUUAUAAUAAAAAUAUUUAGUUAUAUUGAGAAUUUUAUAAUUUAUAUUGUUAAUAAAUUGUAUUUUAUUAUAAAUAAUUUCAUAAAAAUUAAAAUUUAAAAUAAUUAUUUAAUUUUUUAUAAAAAAAUAAAUUUUAAUAAUAAAAAUUUAGUUAUAAUGAUAAAAUUAGUAUAUAAAGAUAUAAAUAAAUAUAAAUUUAUAAAUAAACUAAUUAAAAGGAAUUCGGCAAAAUUUUAUUUUUACUUGUUUAUCAAAAACAUGUCUUUUUGGGGUUUAUUUAAAGUCUAAUCUGCCCACUGAUUUUAAUUAAAGGGCUGCAGUAUUUUGACUGUACAAAGGUAGCAUAAUCAUUAGUCUCUUAAUUGGUGACUUGUAUGAAAGAUUGGAUAAAAAAUAUACUGUCUCUUAAUUAUUGUGUAGAAUUUAAUUUUUUAUUUAAAAAGAUAAAAUGAUUUAAAAAGACGAGAAGACCCUAUAGAGUUUUAUAAAUGUAUUUAUAAAUAGUUAUAUAUUUAAUUAAUUAAAAUGUUUAUAAAUUUAUUUAUUUUAUUGGGGUGAUAGAAAAAUAAAUUAAACUUUUUUAAAAUAUAAACAAAAAUAAGUGAUUUUUUGAUCCAAUUUUAUUGAUUAUAAGAUUAAAUUACCUUAGGGAUAACAGCGUAAUUAUUUUUUUUAGUUCUAAUAAGAAAAAUAGUUUGCGACCUCGAUGUUGGAUUAAGAUAAAAUUUAAGUGCAAAAGCUUAAAAUUUUUGAUCUGUUCGAUCAUUAAAAUCUUACAUGAUCUGAGUUCAAACCGGUGUGAGCCAGGUUGGUUUCUAUCUUUUAUAAUAUUAUAUAUUUUAGUACGAAAGGAUCAAAUAUUGUAAUUAAAUUAAUAAUUAUUUACUUGAAUUUUAUUAAAAAUAAAAAUAAAAUAUUGUUUGUUUAUUUUGUAUGCCUAGUAUACGUGCAUAUUGUACAUAUAUAUAUAUAUAUAAUUAAUUAUGUGUAUAAAUAUGU
This 1433-nucleotide ribosomal RNA is filed under the name Abraxas latifasciata. RNAcentral's name for it is "16S ribosomal RNA". Lineage: Eukaryota; Metazoa; Arthropoda; Insecta; Lepidoptera; Geometridae. The record is from RNAcentral.